This is a non-coding RNA of Zonotrichia albicollis (white-throated sparrow), 879 nucleotides long. The record is from RefSeq and is a predicted model, not a curated record. NCBI's taxonomy places the organism in Eukaryota, Metazoa, Chordata, Aves, Passeriformes, Passerellidae.
CAUUAGAAAUAGUGUGUUUGACAUUUCAUUUCAGGCAAGCCAGAAAGGUUUUUUAAAUCAUGCUGUCUGCCUUUUCUCUUUGGCACAUCCUUUCCCUUUGAUUUCCUUUUCAUUCUCCUGAGUUUUUCAUUAUCUUUCCAGUACAAAACAUUAGACCACCGUGCUACAUAAUGGAAAUGAAACAUUUAAGGGAUACUGAGUGCUGUGGCCUCACUGCAGAUCAGAAUGUGACUGUGAUACAUACAGACGCAUACCCCAGCUUUUGAACUGGCACAUCUAAUGGUUUGUACUCUCUGUGUGAUGGUUUGGCCCUGACAGCAGACCAGCACCUACCCAGCUGCUCUUCCACCCCCAGCAAAACAGAAGAAAAAAAAUAAGAAGAAUAAGGGAAAAACACUCAAAGAUGAAAAACAGAAGCAGCUGAAUAUAGGAAGGUAUGUGAUGUAAGGUGCAGUGCAUGGGCUGGAAGGGAAGUGAAGAAGGAAAAGCAUGCAAGCAGUAAUGAAAUGUUCUGAGUUCAAAGUUUUUGGCAACACAGAUGUUCCUGAGAUCUGUCAAGGGUCUUUGAUUUUGUAUAAUAGUCCCAAAAAUCAUGGAAAGGGGAUUAUGGUCCUGGAGGGACAGGAGUGAAUGACAGAAGAGAUGCUCUAAAAAUGAACUCAGAAGUUCUGAUUGUGCUUGGCGCAAUAAGAAGGGGUGAGGAACUGAGACCAGACUUCGGUGAAGAAAAACAUGUUAUAAAUUCACUAGAUUUGAAUUUGAAGGUUGAAGGUUGUCUUACCUGCAAUAGUGUUUAAAAACUAUGGAAAUAAUUGUGUUGUCUAAAUAUAUGUUCUAUCUAUAUGGACUAUAUGACCUCCAGGGGUGCAUUAAACCUUA